UCGGGGUUCGUGGCUGGCCUGCUGCACCCCAAGACGGUGGAGAAGAAGAGCGGGAAGAUCUCCAACGAGCUAAAGGCCCAGGUGAACGGGUGGCAGGACCUGUCCGAAGCGCUGUUGAAGACGGAUGCGAAGCCCCCGGCGGGAAAGCCGCCAGCAAAGUUCACGCCGAUCGAGAAGAUGGGUGUGAGGACGGCAGAGCAGGCGGCCGCCACCCUGGGGAUCCUACUGUUCGUCCAGGUGCCCGGUGGGAUGACAGUGGCUCAGGCGCUGGAGCUGUUUCAUAAGAGUGGGGGGAAAUAGGUAGUUGUGCAGGUAUAUCUGCAUGGGUAUCGUAUAAGUCAAAUAAACAUGUCACAGAGUGACUAAAUGAUAUAAAUAAAUAAACAUGUCACAGAGUGAGUGAAUGAUAUAAAUAAAUAAACAUGUCGAGUUCAUGUUGGGUCCAACCAUAAAAUUGCCAUCCAACAUAUGUCUCGCAUAUGCAAAUGCGCGAUUUGGCUAGUAUAAUCUCACACUUACACACAUGGAUAUAUUGCACCAUUUCAAUAUUUUAUUUAUCGGUUUUAUGUUUAUACACAGUUGAUAUUCAUUGGAUAGGUGGAUUUCCUGGGAAAGAAGGUGCAAAGCUUCGAGGCCCAACGGAGCUGAAAUGACUCAGUAUAGCAAUCCCGUCGAGACUAGGCCAGUACCUCGCCGGAGAUAGGGGCGACGAGGUUGACUAUAGUGCCAGUGGUGCCUGUGAGGGUUCACAUGUUUGGGAUGUGUGUGUGUUUUUUACAAUCGACAUGUUUGGAGGUGUUAAGGGCAUCUCCAACCGCGACCCGCAAAUUUACUCUCGCAUCCGUCCGCGAACAGGGGGGGACCAGUCCAAGAUCAAGGAUGCGGGAGGCGGCCAUCCAACGCUGUCCGCAUACAUUUCAAUCCGCAUUUGAACUAACCUGACGAAAUUCAUGAAAACCGGCUCCAGGAUGGACAAUGCCAUCGUAAAGGCUAGCGGGGCGCGUCGGUGUUGGUUGCGGACAUCCGGCAAUGCCUCUGUGACGAUAAGAGACGUAUAGCGGCGGCGGCGGAGCUGGAGGGUGCAAAUACAAAGCAAGGGGGAGAAGGGGCGGAGUGGAAGGAAACGAGACUAAAACGGGGGACUGGGUGGGCCGGGGGUGUUGGAGUCCUACGUGGCUGCUGCCUGGUUUGAACAAUUUUUUAUUAAAUUUAAAAAAUAUCUGAAUUUCAAGAAAUGAUGACAAAUUUGAAAAAUGUUUCCGGAUUUUAAAAACUGUUCCUGAAUUUGAAAAUAAAAAUUAUCACAAGUUUGAAAAAAAAUGUUUCCUCAUUUUUUAAAGUGUUCCUGAAUUUUAUAGGUAUUCAUGUAUUUAAAAAAUGUCCCUCCAUUUCAAGAAAUAUUCACAAAAUUAAUAAUAUGCGGCACAAUUAUUUCCUUUUUGGUUUUACAUUUUUAUACGAAAUUGUAAAAAUCAUAAAAAAGAAAUCAACAAAAGCAAAAAGGAAAGAAAAGCAAAUGGGAAAAACUUAUAGAUAAAACACAAAAGGAAAAAAUAAAAGUAAAACAGUCUAGGAAGGUUCUGGUACUUUUCUAUAAACGGGGGGAACACACUAAAAACCCCGAACUGGCCUGGCACAAUAUACUGCCUACAAUUGCGUGAGUGUGUGCGUUUGCUUGCUAACUGUUGACCUAUGAUGGGAUUCUGAAUUAUCAUCUUUAUCCUGCCUCUAGUGAGAUUUUUUUUCUUGAGAAUUCUCGCUCAACUUUAUUGAUUUUUUUAGUCACGCCCAACUUUAUUGAUGAAUCAAAAUGUUCUAGUGAGAUGGAAGAACAACUUGUCACAAUGGAGUUCAUAGUGGGCCGGCUAGUCGGGAAGUAUUGGUCUGCUUCAUUCAUUCCUUUUAUUCAUUUGGUUUCAGCAUUUUUUUACUUUCAUUUUUUUGCUUACUUAUUUAUUUAUUUUUUAAACUACUUCAAUUAUUUAAAAAAAUCUUCACGCAUUAAAUUUAUGUGAUGUAAAGCAGUUUUUCACAUAACUUGUAUUUUUUUUAAUAUUUUAAAAAAAUGUUCAUCACAUUUAAAGAACAUUCACAUGUUUCAAAAAUAUGAUCAACCAUUUUAUUAUAUCUUGAUAAAAUGUAAAACAUUGUUCAUGAAUUUGGAAUAAUAUUUCGUACCAGUGAAAAAAGAACUCAUUAUGCUUACAAGAUGUUUUAUUUUCUCUUAAAUAUUCAUUGUGUUAAAAAAAAGUUCUCCUUGUAUUUAAAGAUAAAAUGGGCAUUUGGCAAAUGUUCCUCUUAUAUUCAUAAAAAAAAUAAACGUGUAUUUGAAAAAUAUUCAACAAGUAUAUAAAGAAAAUUCAUAAUUGCAUAAAAAUAUAUUCGAUGUGCAUUUGACAAAUUUACAAUAUGUAUUAAGAUAAAAUGUUCAACAUGUAUUUGAUAUAUGUUCAAAGUAUAUCAAAAAAGUAGACAGAGUGUAUAUGAAAAACGUUCAACAUAGAUUAAAUAGAGUUAACAUAUGUUUGAAAAAUAAGGAACAAAGAAACAAAAAACAAAAUAAUGCCAAUGAAAACUGAUACAAGAACACACGGAAACAAAGAAGAAGAAAAACUGCACAGACGAAAAUAUCCUAAAGUUUGGAACGAAAAUAUCUCUAAAUAGGCUUUCGCCUAGCUUUUAUAAAUAAAGCAACCACCAUGUCCAUACAACAAGUUCAAAUACCACACUGAAAAUAAAUAAGUCCACUGAGACAACAACGCAAACAUGUCGAGAAAAAGCAUAAAAGAAAGAUGGAACAAAAAGCCACCAAGUGGGUGGAAGCUCAGGCGAUCAGUGGCGAGGCAAGACGGCGCGCUGUAGCAAUCAAGGCGUCCACCAUGAGUUCAAGCCGGUUGCGAUCCCGCUGCCUAGAGAGUGGGUGCCAGUGCUGCAUAAGUGCAAGGAUAUUUUAAGAUAGAGCCAGAGGCCCGUCUAAGAAAAACCCGCUCAUCACCAUCUUUCAUAUCCACACUUACUGUAAAAUCCAAAAACAAAUUUAUAGUUGCAUCUGUAAAAUAAAUCCAGCUAUUUUAGACAUCCAUUUUCAUUUCAACUUGAAUGCGGAUACUGAAUCGUCAUAUACUUUUCGCUCAAAUAUGAACGUACAAUAUUUUGGAUUAUCCAGAUAUUCAGCGGCCCCGGUCAAAUAGCUUCAAGGUUGCGUCCUCGCCCAUGACUACGAGAUGCGAGUCACACGGACCUGCAUGCCGGAUCCGCUGUAGAGCUGGUCGCCUAGGAGAGGAUUGUCUCGUUCCGUAGUGGUGCAGACAUAGAAAGCCGCUCUCGAGGAGUUCGGUCACGACGAAUAAGCGUCAGGUCUCUUCUAUGGAGCCGAUGAACCUGGCCAGCAGGAUGCUCUUCACUUUACCCAUUCUGGGCAUGCGGAAGAAAGUACGCAUCACGACCGCCCCACCGACAACGAUGGAAACGUGCGCAUCGUUCGUGUAAGCAUGGGGGACGGAAUCCUCGGCGCCGAUAGUUGACCUUGCUACCACGGCCAAGGACAGCUGGCGGCGCUUGCCCUUGCUCGUUACACGCCAGUGUGUAGGACUAAGAUCCAUCCACCUGGCGCCUUCCGAGUCCGCCCGCUGCAAAAAUCAACAACAGCUGAGCAACCUCAACAAGCGGCUUGAGACAUUAUUCCGUCAGCAACCUCUCCGUCGUCCAACCGCAAGUCUUUAUCGACUCGCGGAGUUAUCUAGGUUAUUACAAAUUUCUCUAGACAAAAGCAUUGGGCGUUUAAUGACUACACCUCAUAUAUCCCAAGAAAAUGCUUCUCAUUACCAUACUAAUCCUUACUAUCAUCGGUUUUUAGAAUAGCAUUCAAUGUAUUCUCGCUUCUUACUUUUUACUGGAUUGAUCUACGGGCUCUCAGGUACCUGCGGGGCCUUAGAAUCACACAUAAAAAAACGUCAAUUAAGUAAAGUUAAAAUAACGACACACAUAAAAGUAACGUCAAUUAAGUGAAGUCAUCCAACGAUUAUCGUGGCCAAAUACGUAUGGUUGCAACUUGCAAGGCCAUUCCUCAGCCCAUUGCCUUCAAAGAAUUAAUCACACAUUGCGAUCAGAUCAUAGGGUGCACCGAUUACAAGUAUGGAUAACUCAGGGAAGAAUGUCUAUAGUUGUGAUGGAGGUGAUGGUAAUGGAGAUCAGAUGGAAAAUGAUAGUGGCUAGGGUUUGUGAAUGGCUCCUGGUGGUGCUUCGUCGCUUUGCUACAGUUGAAUCUAAAAAGAUAGUAAAAAAUCUCAAGAAAAUUAAAUCUGAUUUCUUUUGCAACAAACUUAAUGUGUUUUCACAUGCGUACAAAUUUUUCCAAUGGAAUGCCAUUUGUGGAGGUCUGGGCAAAAAAUGCAAAAUUGUUGCUUGAAAAAGAUUGUCUUUGGAAGCAUUUUGGAGCAUCAGUUUUUUCGCAGACAACCCUGAAUGUCAUUCCAUCGCAAAAGUUUGCACGCAUGUAAAACACAAAUCAUUGUUUGUUGUGAUUUUUUUGAUGUCUUUUCUUGAAUUUUUCAAGUAUUUUCUUUUAAAAUUUUAAUGUAGCAAAGAAUGUAUACGAGCUCGUGCUCAAGUUAGCACUCUGAAGCGCCUUUGAUCAUGUGUAACAUGCACUCAGAAGUCAAAAGACAGAACUGAUCCCUGCAUCAGUAAAUCACGACAUGACAGCUCCAGAUUUCUUAUUAUUCAAGUUAGCAGCCAUGGCAACUGAAAAAGAAAGAGUUAGCAGCCAUGGUGUGGCCUAAUCAUCGCGUUCGAGAUGCUGCGACCCGUUCCAAAGCUUAGAAAGUGUGCGGAACUGAUCUUCGGCAUAAAGAAAGGGAUCACCCAGAAGAAAAACAUGCCGUCUCCUUCUUUGGACUAGCUAGUCGGCAUAAAGAAAGGGAUCACCCAGAAGAAAAACAUGCCGUCUCCUUCUUUGGACUAGCUAGCUAGGAAAGCAAGCAUAUGUAAAAGUGAAGGCAUGGAAGCGUAUACCUCUAUGUAAGGACGCAUGCAUCUUAUAUAUAGAUCAAUAGGAUUACAAUUGGCGGCAGGUUAGUUAGUACUAGCACAUACAUACCCAAAAAGACUUUUGCCCCGUUUUAUAAAUAAAGGAAACCACCACAGCCACAAGGUACAUAAAGAUUCACACCCACACACAAGCAAAGUAGUAGCAAGACAUAAAGUACGAGGUUCUGCCGAGGACACAACUCAACAAACCCAUAAAAAGAGAAAAGAAGAGACAAAGCACACAGCUUAACUAGCACACACAUAAACACACGCACUCACAUCACGUUACAAGGUACAUACUGAGAUAAGGAUCACCUAAGCCAAGCUAUACAAAGAUAAGGAUCGCCUCUGACAACCUGCCUUGUACAAUACAUGAACAUACGCGCACACACAUCACGUAAAAGUUACAUAUAUGACACGUACACAUAUACAAGCCUAUCGUUUAAUAGGAUGGACCUGUCGAUCGCCUAUAAAUACAUCUCCAGUUUGUUCCUCUUCCAUAUCUCAUCCCCUCUCGCUUAAUAGUCUGUCUCAUCUUGGAUUUGUAUCCAUGGCAGCAAAGAUGGCGAAGAACGUGGACAAGCCGCUCUUCACCGCGACGUUCAACAUCCAGAGCAGCUCUGCCGACUACGUCACCUUCAUCACCGGCAUCCGCAACAAGCUCCGCAACCCGGGGCAGUCCUCCCACAACCGCCCCGUGCUGCCACCGAUCGAGCCCAACGUCCCGCCGAGCAGGUGGUUCCACAUCGUGCUCAAGACAUCGCCGGCCAACACAGGGCUCACACUCGCCACCCGCGCCGACAACCUCUACUGGGAGGGCUUCAAGAGCAGCGACGGCACUUGGUGGGAGCUCACCCCAGGCCUUAUCCCCGGUGCCACCUAUGUCGGGUUCGGCGGCACCUACCGCGACCUUCUCGGCGACACCGACAAGCUGACCAACGUUGCCCUCGGCCGGCAGCAGAUGGCCGACGCGGUGACUGCGCUCUACGGGCGCACCAAGGCCGACAAGACCUCCGGCCCGAAGCAGCAGCAGGCGAGGGAGGCGGUGACGAUGCUGCUCCUCAUGGUGCACGAGGCCACGCGGUUCCAGACCGUGUCGGGGUUCGUGGCUGGCCUGCUGCACCCCAAGACGGUGGAGAAGAAGAGCGGGAAGAUCUCCAACGAGCUAAAGGCCCAGGUGAACGGGUGGCAGGACCUGUCCGAAGCGCUGCUGAAGACGGAUGCGAAGCCCCCGGCGGGAAAGCCGCCAGCAAAGUUCACGCCGGUCGAGAAGAUGGGUGUGAGGACGGCGGAGCAGGCGGCCGCCACCCUGGGGAUCCUGCUGUUCGUCCAGGUGCCCGGUGGGAUGACGGUGCCCCAGGCGCUGGAGCUGUUUCAUAAGAGUGGGGGGAAAUAAGUAGUUGUGUAGGUAUAUCUGCAUGGGUAUUGUAUAAGUCUGAAUAAACAUGUCGCAGAGUGAUUGAAUGAUAUAAAUAAAUAAACAUGUCACAGAGUGAGUGAAUGAUAUAUAAAUAAAUAAACAUGUCUGAGUUUAUGUUGUGUCCAACAGUAAAAUUGCUAUCCAACAUAUGUUUUGCACAUGCAAAUAUG
RNAcentral lists this long non-coding RNA (6618 nucleotides) under Triticum aestivum (bread wheat). Its description in RNAcentral is "long non-coding RNA (TAES_LNC006388)". The record is from RNAcentral. Lineage: Eukaryota; Viridiplantae; Streptophyta; Magnoliopsida; Poales; Poaceae.